This 253-nucleotide ribosomal RNA is filed under the name uncultured bacterium. RNAcentral describes it as "partial 16S ribosomal RNA". It matches the Rfam family "Bacterial small subunit ribosomal RNA", at positions 524 to 776 of the family's 1533-position model. The record is from RNAcentral.
UACGUAGGUGGCAAGCGUUGUCCGGAAUUACUGGGCGUAAAGGGCGUGUAGGCGGUUUUUUAAGUCAGGCGUGAAAACCCAGGGCUUAACCUUGGGAUUGCGUUUGAAACUGGAAGACUUGAGGAUCGGAGAGGGCAGUGGAAUUCCCAGUGUAGCGGUGAAAUGCGUAGAUAUUGGGAGGAACACCAGUGGCGAAGGCGGCUGCCUGGACGACACCUGACGCUGAGGCGCGAAAGCUAGGGUAGCAAACGGG